CUGCAACUCGCCUGCAUGAAGUCGGAAUUGCUAGUAAUCGCAGAUCAGCAUGCUGCGGUGAAUACGUUCCCGGGCCUUGUACACACCGCCCGUCACACCAUGGGAGUCGGUAACACCCGAAGUCGGUAGCCUAACCGUAAGGAGGGCGCCGCCGAAGGUGGGAUUGAUGACUGGGGUGAAGUCGUAACAAGGUACC
RNAcentral lists this ribosomal RNA (196 nucleotides) under uncultured bacterium. Its description in RNAcentral is "partial 16S ribosomal RNA". It matches the Rfam family "Bacterial small subunit ribosomal RNA", at positions 1305 to 1500 of the family's 1533-position model. The record is from RNAcentral.